AGAGAUAAAGGAAUUCAAAUUCUGAAAUUUUAAAAUGUGGAGAAAAUUUGUUAUGAAGAUAUCUGGUAAAUUUUAGCUAAUCAAGUGAACAAAUGAGCUAGUAAUAUCAAAAGUUAAAAGCCUGCGUGAAUCGAGUUUUUAAGUGAAGUAGUAAUUAGCUUGGAGGACUGCUAUUAAAAAUGGAAACUGAAAAAUGGCUGGAAGAGACUUGGGUGAAAUAUUCUCAUUUUGAGGAAUUCUUCUUUAAUGAGGAAGACACUGAUUUUUCUGAUUUUCUUGACGAAUGGCAAAUUAGGCUAACAAGCGCCCUGGAUGCAGGGAUAAGUUAUUCCGAAUCUGUCCUAGCGUUCAAAUUACUUAAGAACAGUAAUCUGGACGCGGAUGCGCAGGAGUUUAUAUUCUCUGCUCUGCGCAUGCAUUGUCUGGAUCGUAAGAGUUUACUACUUCAGACUAUGCUGAUCCUUUCGCAGAUGUUUCAGGAAACUGAUGAGUCAGAGAUAACUAAAUAUUUAAACAAGACUGAAAAUAGUUCUCUUCAAACUACAUUUUCUAUUGAUGAUACACAUAUUGAUGAUUCACAUAUUAAUGCUACGAAUAUUGAUGCUAAGAAUAUUGAAAACACAAACCAGAAGGUUCAAGAUCAAAACCAAAUUAAGAGUAAUAAAAAGAAAAAGAAAAAGAAGAAAUUGAUAAAAGUGCAGGAGGGUGAACCUGGGAAGAAGAUAGAGAAGGAUAAAAGAAAAAAUUCAAAAAAAAAAAUUGUUCCACGGGAAGUGGUUAGGGAAGAUGGAACCUCCGAUAUUUUCCAGUGUCCGGAGUGUCCCCUGUUUGUUUAUUUUAAUGCUGGUUUGCAGCAUCACUUGCCAGUUCAUAAACUUCCUUCAAGACCCUUCCAGUGUUCUAGUUGCAGUGCUUCAUAUAGUCUGCAAGGAGGACUAUAUAGCCAUAAAUGCGUACAUGAUGAGCCUAUUACCUGUACUUUGUGUGAUAUGAAGUUCUUUGGGAGACAUAAGAUCAAGAGACAUAUGAGACAAAGCCACAAAGUUAAAGGAGAUUAAAUAGUUUCUCUAUAAAGUGACUUGUGAAUUUCUUCCCAAAAAAACAUAGGAAUUUCCAUCUCAAGACUUCUAAACCAAGUAACAUCUGGCACUCUUGAGAAACUUUCUUAUUUUUGCGGCUCAGACAGAUUUUUCUUAUUUUAGUAUUUGUUGAAGACUGAAACAAAACUGUAUGGAUAUCUCUGUAUAAAACUUAUGUACGGCCCCACCUUGAAUACUGUAUACAAGCCUGGAAUCCCUGGCUGAUUAAAGAUAAAGAAAUCCUGGAAAAAGUACAGAAAAGAGCUAUUUCCAUGACUUCUGGACUCUCAGGAUCUACCUAUGAAGAGAAAUUGAGAGAGGUUGGACUCACUAGUCUGGAGGAAAGAAAGAAGAAGGGAGAUAUGAUUCAAGUCUGGAAAAUCCUUCAUGAACAUGAUCAUGUGGAUAAAAACAACUGGUUUAGCUCAGCCUAUGUACCUGGUGAAAAUGAAAAACAAACCAGAAUGUCCCGUGAUCCUUUAAAUCUGAAGUUACCUGUUGUGCACACCGAAAUACAAAGAAACUUUUUUAGUGCAAGAGUUAUCAAUAUAUGGAAUGAUAUUCCAUAUGAAAUCAAAAGUGCUGGAAACCUGAACAUUUUCAAAAA
Eurytemora carolleeae is the source of this 1686-nucleotide RNA transcript. It is a transcript of the gene named zinc finger protein 425, with no coding region annotated. The record is from RefSeq and is a predicted model, not a curated record. The transcript is spliced from 11 exons. NCBI's taxonomy places the organism in Eukaryota, Metazoa, Arthropoda, Copepoda, Calanoida, Temoridae.